This is a long non-coding RNA of Onychostoma macrolepis, 551 nucleotides long. RefSeq lists it as uncharacterized. The record is from RefSeq and is a predicted model, not a curated record. The transcript is spliced from 3 exons. Lineage: Eukaryota; Metazoa; Chordata; Actinopteri; Cypriniformes; Cyprinidae.
GGUGUUCAUUUUGGUCUUAUGUAAAUGCAUUUUUUUUUAAAUCAAGAUAAUUUUCAUUAUUUCUUGUAGGUGCAAAGAAUAGCAGCUGAUGUGGAGAAAUGUUUGAUGCUUCAAGACUCUCUGAAGCUGAUUAUAUUAGGUGCACCCAGUGGCUUUUGACUAGGCCUAUUCGAGGGUCACAUGGUUGUGAAUUCAUACCUCAACUUUGCGGCUGGAUUUUCAAUCUUAUUACAACUUCAGCCUGGCGUCCCGGGAGCAGGCGUCUUUUGCACACUUGAAUUAAUUUCAAAGAUGUUUUGUUGGAAUCACAACACUCACUGGAUACAAGACGGAUAUACAGAGGCAAAACAAGUGGAAAGGUCUCAGAGAAGAGGGACAACCCUCAUGUGUGUGCUCAUCUCAGAAAGUUGAUGGACUUUCAGUAUGUAUUUAUUAAAUUGUCUUUUGCAGGAAUAUUCUAAAUUUAAUAUAACAUAAGCUCAAACAACAGAAUUUGUGGUAUAAUGUUGAUUCCAGCAUUUUAUUUUAAUCCUUUAACCAAAAUUAUACAA